CAGCAGCCGCGGAAAUACAGAGGGUGCGAGCGUUAAUCGGAUUUACUGGGCGUAAAGCGUGCGUAGGCGGCUUUUUAAGUCGGAUGUGAAAUCCCUGAGCUUAACUUAGGAAUUGCAUUCGAUACUGGGAAGCUAGAGUAUGGGAGAGGAUGGUAGAAUUCCAGGUGUAGCGGUGAAAUGCGUAGAGAUCUGGAGGAAUACCGAUGGCGAAGGCAGCCAUCUGGCCUAAUACUGACGCUGAGGUACGAAAGCAUGGGGAGCAAACAGGAUUAGAUACCCCUGUAGUCCCUGUCUCUUAUAA
Molecule: ribosomal RNA, 301 nt
Filed under: uncultured bacterium
Lineage: Bacteria
Description: partial 16S ribosomal RNA
Rfam family: Bacterial small subunit ribosomal RNA
Source: RNAcentral